This 556-nucleotide long non-coding RNA is filed under the name Marmota monax (woodchuck). Lineage: Eukaryota; Metazoa; Chordata; Mammalia; Rodentia; Sciuridae. The record is from RNAcentral.
GGAAACCCUGUCACUUUAGCCCCAGGGAAGCUCACCGCCCACAAACAGCCCAGACACUGGAGCCCCGGCCUUGAGAGAGUUCCUGGAGGCGGUGGGUAGACGCUGGGCAGCUGCCCUGCUCCUCAGCCAGCCCGUGCAGAGCCAGCCAGGAGGAAGAGCCUGUGUCCCCGAGUCCAGGGAAAGCCCCGCUUUGUUCUCUCAGGACACCGCCGCGCGUGUCUGGUGGCCGCCCACCCUCAGCUGCGUCCUGUGGAGUUUCCUGGCUUCCAGAGAAGCCCCCGAUGAAUACAUUGGGAGUCCAAGGAAGGCUGACCUGAGACUGGCAGGAGGCCGAGGGCUGGUACAGCUGCCAAACCUGACUAUCUGGGAAGACUGGGAGGGAACACACCAGACUUUCCACACGACAGCCUUCAGAGGACUUCAGAAAUAGAAAUUUAGGAAUGCUGAAGCUAUUUGUAUUCUUUGAACUUGGAUAUUACUAUCGUUUGCUGUUUAAUGUGUAUCUCACUGUCUGACACAGACCAGUGCUCUGGGUCCCAGCCUGACGCCUACUGAC